AGCUCCAAUAGCGUAUAUUAAAGUUGUUGCAGUUAAAAAGCUCGUAGUUGGAUUUCUGGUUUGAUGCCCUGGCCCGCUGCCUUUUUGGCAGUGUGUGCCGGCUGUGCGUCUGCCAUCCUUCUAGAGAACGUUCCUACCCUUAAUUGGGCCGGGUUCGAGAUCUAGAUCUUUUACUUUGAAAAAAUUAGAGUGUUUAAAGCAGGCAUUUGCUGUGAAUACAUUAGCAUGGAAUAAUAAUCUAGGACUUCGGUUCUAUUUUGUUGGUUUCUAGUACUGAAGUAAUGAUUGAUAGGGAUCGUUGGGGGUGCUAGUACUGAGCGGCCAGAGGUGAAAUUCUUGGAUUCGCUCAUGACUAACUUAUGCGAAAGCAUUCACCAAGGAGGUCUUCU
Molecule: ribosomal RNA, 389 nt
Filed under: uncultured eukaryote
Lineage: Eukaryota
Description: SSU rRNA
Rfam family: Eukaryotic small subunit ribosomal RNA
Source: RNAcentral